This 459-nucleotide ribosomal RNA is filed under the name uncultured bacterium. RNAcentral's name for it is "partial 16S ribosomal RNA". It matches the Rfam family "Bacterial small subunit ribosomal RNA", at positions 338 to 795 of the family's 1533-position model. The record is from RNAcentral.
CCUACGGGAGGCAGCAGUGAGGAAUAUUGGUCAAUGGGCGGGAGCCUGAACCAGCCAAGUCGCGUGUAGGAAGAAGGUACUUAGUAUUUUAAACUUCUUUUGUCGGGGAACAAAGGCGGAGACGCGUCUCCGGAUGAGUGUACCCGAAGAAAAAGCAUCGGCUAACGCCGUGCCAGCAGCCGCGGUAAUACGGCGGAUGCGAGCGUUAUCCGGAUUUAUUGGGGUUAAAGGGUGCGCAGGCGGGAGAUAAAGUCAGCGGGAAAAUGUCGGGGCUCAACCCCGGCCGGCCGUUGAAACUGGGUGUCUAGAGUUGGAGAGAGGUAUGCGGAAUUCGUGGUGUAGCGGUGAAAUGCAUAGAGAUCACGAAGAACUCCGAUUGCGAAGGCAGCAUACCGGCUCCAUACUGACGCUGAGGCACGAAAGCGUGGGGAGCGAACAGGAUUAGAUACCCGAGUAGUC